GGCGCUGGCUGCUGGCGUUCGAGCACCGGCUGUGGCUCAGUCGAAAAGGGCGCGGUUCUUGCCAGUUCACCUCCUCCAAAGCAGGUGACAAAAAACAAAAAUCAACCAGCUGAUGGAGGGACACUGAUACCUACACAACAACCAUGAACAAUACUAGACAGACACACACUACCAUGUUGACACCACUUAGCAUUCAGCUGGUGUCUGGACGCACCCACCCCACCAUGGUGCCCUCUUGCGUCAUAAUCUAUGAGGACACCCCAAAUACACCUGUUUGUCCUGGACCGCAAUAUGGGUCAUCGAAUCUUCUUUCUGGUCUCGCCUAGUGAUGGCCUUGAUGUCGGAGCUGGGAUUGCCUAGCUGUAGCACCAGUCCUGCAAUGGUACCGACCCUGCUUGUCGUCUACCCUAUUUCCUGUCCGUCCGUCUGAUGGAUGUUGUUGGUCAACGCUAAAACAAGGUGGACAUCUAUGAUGGAGCAAGGGCCCCCACGUACCUUUUACUGAAACCUUCCUGGCCUAUGGAAGUUUUGUGUCAGGUAGCUGUCUGUCCGUCCGUCUAAGUCAAGCGUAUUGUCCUGUUUUAUGUAUGGGAAAAGGGCUCUGAUAGAGGGUACCUUUGGCGUUGUCGGCUGACCAACGCUGUGCUGUUAUCGCCUGGUUGGCUGAUGUUCCAACGUCGGGACAGUGGAGGUGGAGUUUUGGGUUUUUUAAGUAUUUACUUUCUUCGUUUUAUCUUAUUUAUUUACAGAUAACUUUAUUUUCCUUUCUUUUCAGGUUAAUGUUUUUUUUUUUCUCUUUUCAGGUAUCGUUUUCUUUUCAGGUGUUUAGUGUUUCUUCCCUUACAGGUUUUUACGUUCCUGUCUUUUUCGCCUUCUAACAACUUUCAAUUUUUAUCGUCUUUUAUUUCUUUAAGCAUUUUAAUGUUUUUAAUUUCCUUAUAGGUUUUAACUUCAGGUUCUUUACCUUUAUUAACAAUUUUGUUCGGAUUUUAGCCAAUGUUAAUUAUUCAUUUCUUUCGUUUCAGGUGUUAAUAUUUCUUUCUUUUCAGUCUUUUCUAAAACUUAACACAGCCAUUAAAUAUUCUUCAAAGCUUGUUUUUAGGGUUUAAUUUUAAGUUCUUUUAUUUGCUUUUUAUCAAUUAGACAAACAAACGCUUUGAUCUUCAAUAAAACAACACUUUUUCACCGCGGUUUCCGUCUCGUCUUUUUCUUUAUUUAUUUCCACUUGGGUCUCACUCCACCUCCGGUAAGCUUGCUGUCCAUAACCAAAAAGAACGCUUCAUCUUGGGGACUCUAGCCAGCUUGGCUUUGGUUGGUCUCCAUCAUGAAGUUGGUCUUCCAGCCGGCACCAACAAAACAUAUGGGGGCAGCCAUAAUGACAGGUUGGUGUCAGCUGGUUGUCUCCCUCUCCCUGAUGAGGGCCAACCAUAGCCAGUAGGUGUCGCUGGAGUAAGGCAAGUCACAACCAGGUGGCGCUGUAGCGCCAUUAUUCGGCGCACACCACAAA
Molecule: long non-coding RNA, 1507 nt
Organism: Stomoxys calcitrans (stable fly)
Lineage: Eukaryota; Metazoa; Arthropoda; Insecta; Diptera; Muscidae
Exons: 4
Source: RefSeq, a predicted model, not a curated record